UACGUAGGGACCGAGCGUUGUCCGGAAUCAUUGGGCGUAAAGAGCGUGUAGGCGGCUUGUUAAGUCUUGCGUGAAAUCUCGGGGCUCAACCCCGAGCGGUCGUGAGAAACUGGCAGGCUAGAGUGCGGGAGAGGAGAGUGGAAUUCCUGGUGUAGCGGUGAAAUGCGCAGACAUCAGGAGGAACACCGGUGGCGAAGGCGGGUCUCUGGGCCGUAACUGACGCUGAGGAGCGAAAGCGUGGGGAGCAAACAGG
RNAcentral lists this ribosomal RNA (253 nucleotides) under uncultured bacterium. Its description in RNAcentral is "partial 16S ribosomal RNA". It matches the Rfam family "Bacterial small subunit ribosomal RNA", at positions 524 to 776 of the family's 1533-position model. The record is from RNAcentral.